ACCUGAAUGGCUCAGUGGGUAGAGCAUGUGACUCUUGAUCUCGGGAUCGUGAGUUCGAGCCUCACGUUGGGUG
Odobenus rosmarus divergens (Pacific walrus) is the source of this 73-nucleotide non-coding RNA. The record is from the annotation of a RefSeq genome assembly. NCBI's taxonomy places the organism in Eukaryota, Metazoa, Chordata, Mammalia, Carnivora, Odobenidae.